RNAcentral lists this long non-coding RNA (1602 nucleotides) under Citrus x clementina. RNAcentral's name for it is "Citrus clementina (C. clementina) long non-coding RNA (CCLE_LNC003279)". The record is from RNAcentral. Lineage: Eukaryota; Viridiplantae; Streptophyta; Magnoliopsida; Sapindales; Rutaceae.
UUAAUAACUUAUAGUUCAUAAUCUUAGACUUUAUUAAAAUUCAGAAAAAAAUAUUAAAUCAUAUGGUGUAAUAGUAUAAUAUCAUUAAUUAUAAUUUUCCCAGAAUUCUAAAUUGGACAAUUGAAUACUUUUGAUAACUCAAACUUUUGUAAGUAUAAAAGAAGCAAAUGUAGUUUCAAGCUUGAUUCGACAGUGCUCCUGCACAACAGCACUUGGUAUAAGCAAAUGUAGGUUCAAAAUGUACUAAAAUUUUAAAUUUUAAAAGUUAUAUGGAAAUAUUCAUACACACAUAUAUAAUAAAAAAGUUUGAUUUCUGUUUUAUGUUUUCUUAUUCAUAUUUUAUAUCGAUCAUAAAAUUUACUCCUAGUGAUAUGAUUUUUUUGGCUACUCCACUGGUUGGAGGUGUGAAAUCAUUAAAAAAAAAAGAUUAGCUAUUGUGCAUGCUAAUUAAUUCAGUUGAUAAAAUCUCUUGAGUGAAAAUAAAAGAUUUGAAAUUUAAACUUCGCUCAGAUGGGUAGGGAGAUAAACCAACAAUUAUCAUGUGCGGAUAUAAUUUUGUGGGUCAUUUCCUCAAAACUUAAGAUUAUUUCAAAAAACGAAAAAGGUUAAUUGAAUGAAAUUUAUCAGGUGGAAAUAAGAGGUAUGAGAUUCAAACUUUGUUCACGUGGGUCGGUUGAUAAACCAGCAAUUAACAUAUUCGCACAUAAUAUUGCAACUAUUUCCUCAAAAUCUAUCAUUAUUUCAAAAAAGAAGAGAAAAAGAAAAGGUUAAUUGAGCCAAAUUUCUAUCAUGCAUGCUUCCAUAAAAUUCGAUUCCUUACGUGUUCUAGUUUCUUCCAAUUUGUGGUACAUUCGCAACUGCAAUCUGAAGUCAUAAGAGUGGCCAUGUUUCUCAUAUUUUCACCUCUCAAUUUGAUUCUUCAAAUUGAUUAAAAAAAAAAAGAAAGGAAAAAAAGGUCGAAAUGGCAUAAAGUUCAACAAUUUGUGACUUUGCUUCUUUAAAGUGAUUUUACUUUAUUGCUCAAACGUUAACCCUUGCAUGUUGCAUCUCAUGCACUAUUUGUGGCCUUGGUUUUUCAGUUCUUCAUUUUUUUUCUCUCUUUAAACAUCUACUAAGAGGUAAGCGCCGAAAAGUGUUGAUUCCCCCUUUAUCUUUUUUUAUUUUUCUUCUUUGGAAUCUCCAAUUAUAGCCACUUGAGCUUUAUCCAUUCCGAUCUGCUUUUGAUAAUUUUUGUUCUAUUUGUAGGGGUGUCAUUUUCUUGUUACGAAAACUUAUUGCGACAAGUAGUUCAAAUUUGGAAUUUUCAAAGUCAUCGUGAAUUUCAUUGACAACUAAACAUUAAUUUUAGUUGGACUUUCGAUAUAAAAAAGUGCGUAUGUGUGGUGCGUGCGGGUGUGUGUAUAUAAGAUAUUGAAUUUGUUAAGGUUUAGAAAAAUUAUUGAAUCGUAUGGUUUAAUAAUAUAAUGAAUGUGAAAGUUACCAAAACACAUGGUUUAAGAGUAUAAUAAUAUUAUACGAUUAAAUCAUAUGAUUUAAUAGUUCCCGAAUUUUAGUAAAGUUUAAGAUCCUACACUAGAUCAACAAUAUAUAUAUAAAAAGGGG